GAGUAGAGGAGCAUCUGGAUCACCUCCCACCCGUGUUUAUUUUACCUUGUUGCUUCGGCGGGCCCGCCUUAACUGGCCGCCGGGGGGCUCACGCCCCCGGGCCCGCGCCCGCCGAAGACACCCUCGAACUCUGUCUGAAGAUUGAAGUCUGAGUGAAAAUAUAAAUUAUUUAAAACUUUCAACAACGGAUCUCUUGGUUCCGGCAUCGAUGAAGAACGCAGCGAAAUGCGAUACGUAAUGUGAAUUGCAAAUUCAGUGAAUCAUCGAGUCUUUGAACGCACAUUGCGCCCCCUGGUAUUCCGGGGGGCAUGCCUGUCCGAGCGUCAUUGCUGCCCUCAAGCCCGGCUUGUGUGUUGGGCCCCGUCCUCCGAUCUCCGGGGGACGGGCCCGAAAGGCAGCGGCGGCACCGCGUCCGGUCCUCGAGCGUAUGGGGCUUUGUCACCCGCUCUGUAGGCCCGGCCGGCGCCUGCCGAUCAACCCAAAUUUUUUAUCCAGGUUGACCUCGGAUCAGGUAGGGAUACCCGCUGAACUUAAGCAUAUCAAUAAGCGGAGGAAAAGAAACCAACAGGGAUUGCCCCAGUAACGGCGAGUGAAGCGGCAAGAGCUCAAAUUUGAAAGCUGGCUCCUUCGGGGUCCGCAUUGUAAUUUGCAGAGGAUGCUUCGGGAGCGGUCCCCAUCUAAGUGCCCUGGAACGGGACGUCAUAGAGGGUGAGAAUCCCGUAUGGGAUGGGGUGUCCGCGCCCGUGUGAAGCUCCUUCGACGAGUCGAGUUGUUUGGGAAUGCAGCUCUAAAUGGGUGGUAAAUUUCAUCUAAAGCUAAAUAUUGGCCGGAGACCGAUAGCGCACAAGUAGAGUGAUCGAAAGAUGAAAAGCACUUUGAAAAGAGAGUUAAAAAGCACGUGAAAUUGUUGAAAGGGAAGCGCUUGCGACCAGACUCGCUCGCGGGGUUCAGCCGGCAUUCGUGCCGGUGUAUUUCCCCGCGGGCGGGCCAGCGUCGGUUUGGGCGGUCGGUCAAAGGCCCUCGGAAGGUAACGCCCCCAGGGGCGUCUUAUAGCCGAGGGUGCAAUGCGACCUGCCUAGACC
This 1082-nucleotide ribosomal RNA is filed under the name Penicillium sp. LY 38.4. RNAcentral describes it as "eukaryotic LSU rRNA". The stretch from base 498 to 1082 matches the Rfam family "Eukaryotic large subunit ribosomal RNA", at positions 1 to 590 of the family's 3401-position model. The record is from RNAcentral. Lineage: Eukaryota; Fungi; Ascomycota; Eurotiomycetes; Eurotiales; Aspergillaceae.